AGGGGCAUAGCUCAACUGGUAGAGCAGCGGUCUCCAAAACCGCAGGUUGGGGGUUCGAAUCCCUCUGCCCCUGC
This 74-nucleotide transfer RNA is filed under the name bacterium HR36. Its description in RNAcentral is "tRNA-Trp". It matches the Rfam family "tRNA". From Rfam's summary of the family: Transfer RNA (tRNA) molecules are approximately 80 nucleotides in length. Their secondary structure includes four short double-helical elements and three loops (D, anti-codon, and T loops). Further hydrogen bonds mediate the characteristic L-shaped molecular structure. tRNAs have two regions of fundamental functional importance: the anti-codon, which is responsible for specific mRNA codon recognition, and the 3' end, to which the tRNAs corresponding amino acid is attached (by aminoacyl-tRNA synthetases). tRNAs cope with the degeneracy of the genetic code in two manners: having more than one tRNA (with a specific anti-codon) for a particular amino acid; and 'wobble' base-pairing, i.e. permitting non-standard base-pairing at the 3rd anti-codon position. The record is from RNAcentral.